This 497-nucleotide ribosomal RNA is filed under the name uncultured bacterium. Its description in RNAcentral is "partial 16S ribosomal RNA". It matches the Rfam family "Bacterial small subunit ribosomal RNA", at positions 28 to 507 of the family's 1533-position model. The record is from RNAcentral.
GAUGAACGCUGGCGGCGUGCCUAAUACAUGCAAGUCGAGCGAACGGACGAGAAGCUUGCUUCUCUGAUGUUAGCGGCGGACGGGUGAGUAACACGUGGAUAACCUACCUAUAAGACUGGGAUAACUUCGGGAAACCGUAGCUAAUACCGGAUAAUAUUUUGAACCGCAUGGUUCAAAAGUGAAAGACGGUCUUGCUGUCACUUAUAGAUGGAUCCGCGCUGCAUUAGCUAGUUGGUAAGGUAACGGCUUACCAAGGCAACGAUGCAUAGCCGACCUGAGAGGGUGAUCGGCCACACUGGGACUGAGACACGGUCCAGACUCCUACGGGAGGCAGCAGUAGGGAAUCUUCCGCAAUGGGCGAAAGCCUGACGGAGCAACGCCGCGUGAGUGAUGAAGGUCUUCGGAUCGUAAAACUCUGUUAUUAGGGAAGAACAUAUGUGUAAGUAACUGUGCACGUCUUGACGGUACCUAAUCAGAAAGCCACGGCUAACUACGUG